CUGAUCCAGCCAUGCCGCGUGCAGGAUGAAGGUCCUAUGGAUUGUAAACUGCUUUUGUAUGGGAGCAAUAAGGUCUUCGUGAAGGCCGAUGAGAGUACCAUACGAAUAAGCACCGGCUAACUCCGUGCCAGCAGCCGCGGUAAUACGGAGGGUGCAAGCGUUAUCCGGAUUUAUUGGGUUUAAAGGGUGCGUAGGCGGUGAUAUAAGUCAGCGGUGAAAGUUUUCAGCUCAACUGGAAAAAUGCCGUUGAUACUGUAUCGCUGGAAUAUGGUUGCUGUGAGUGGAAUGUGUAGUGUAGCGGUGAAAUGCUUAGAGAUUACACAGAAUAUCGAUUGCGAAGGCAGCUCACAAAGCCAUUAUUGACGCUGAGGCACGAAAGUGUGGGGAUCAAACAGGAUUAGAUACCCUGGUAGUCCACACUGUAAACGAUGAUAACUAGCUGUCGGCGAUACACAGUCGGUGGCCAAGCGAAAGCGAUAAGUUAUCCACCUGGGGAGUACGACCGCAAGGUUGAAACUCAAAGGAAUUGACGGGGGCCCGCACAAGCGGAGGAACAUGUGGUUUAAUUCGAUGAUACGCGAGGAACCUUACCCGGGCUCGAACGGUGCAGGAAUAUGGUAGAGAUAUCAUAGCUAGCAAUAGUCUGUAUCGAGGUGCUGCAUGGUUGUCGUCAGCUCGUGCCGUGAGGUGUCGGCUUAAGUGCCAUAACGAGCGCAACCCUUGUCGUUAGUUACCAUCAAGUAAAGUUGGGGACUCUAGCGAGACUGCCACCGUAAGGUGUGAGGAAGGGGGGGAUGACGUCAAAUCAGCACGGCCCUUACGUCCGGGGCGACACACGUGUUACAAUGGUAGGUACAGAGGGCCGCUAUCCAGCGAUGGAAUGCUAAUCUCAAAAACCUAUCUCAGUU
RNAcentral lists this ribosomal RNA (908 nucleotides) under Rikenellaceae bacterium. Its description in RNAcentral is "bacterial SSU rRNA". It matches the Rfam family "Bacterial small subunit ribosomal RNA", at positions 383 to 1293 of the family's 1533-position model. The record is from RNAcentral. Lineage: Bacteria; Pseudomonadati; Bacteroidota; Bacteroidia; Bacteroidales; Rikenellaceae.